This 258-nucleotide long non-coding RNA is filed under the name Nicotiana benthamiana. RNAcentral describes it as "long non-coding RNA (NBEN_LNC001367)". Lineage: Eukaryota; Viridiplantae; Streptophyta; Magnoliopsida; Solanales; Solanaceae. The record is from RNAcentral.
CCCUUGCAAUUCCGAGCCUACCCAUCCAGGUUCCACCAAAUUCCGACAACUUUUAUAUUUUUCCGCCGUGAAUAGUGAUUUGAAUAAGUGGACUUCCGGCCAUUUUUUGAAAACGUUUCUUCAGAACAGUUGGGACGUCUGGUAAAUCCGAUCCUACCCCUACUGUUUUUUAUUUCAUUCUGGUCAGUUUGAAUUUUUCCGGCAAUGACCAGGAUGGUAUUACUAAAUUGAAGCAACAUCUCUUUCAACACUUUCAGA